CGCGUAGGUGGCUAGAUAAGUCCGGUGUGAAAUCCUUCGGCUUAACCGGGGAAUGGCAUCGGGGACUGUAUAGCUAGAGGACGGGAGAGGAGAGCGGAAUUCCCGGUGUAGCGGUGAAAUGCGUAGAGAUCGGGAGGAAGGCCGGUGGCGAAGGCGGCUCUCUGGAACGUCCCUGACGCUGAGGCGCGAAAGCGUGGGGAGCAAACA
Molecule: ribosomal RNA, 207 nt
Filed under: uncultured bacterium
Lineage: Bacteria
Description: partial 16S ribosomal RNA
Rfam family: Bacterial small subunit ribosomal RNA
Source: RNAcentral